RNAcentral lists this ribosomal RNA (468 nucleotides) under uncultured bacterium. RNAcentral's name for it is "bacterial SSU rRNA". It matches the Rfam family "Bacterial small subunit ribosomal RNA", at positions 328 to 795 of the family's 1533-position model. The record is from RNAcentral.
UUUCCAGACUCCUACGGGAGGCAGCAGUGAGGAAUAUUGGUCAAUGGGCUUACGCCUGAACCAGCCAAGUCGCGUGGGGGAAGACUGCCCUAUGGGUUGUAAACCUCUUUUGUCGGGGAGCAAAGCGAACCACGUGUGGUUCAUUGAGAGUACCCGAGGAAAAAGCAUCGGCUAACUCCGUGCCAGCAGCCGCGGUAAUACGGAGGAUGCGAGCGUUAUCCGGAUUUAUUGGGUUUAAAGGGUGCGCAGGCGGAGGUGCAAGUCAGCGGUCAAAUUGCGGGGCUCAACCCCGUACUGCCGUUGAAACUGCAUCCCUUGAGUGCGCGAGAAGUAUGCGGAAUGCGUGGUGUAGCGGUGAAAUGCAUAGAUAUCACGCAGAACUCCGAUUGCGAAGGCAGCAUACCGGCGCGCAACUGACGCUCAUGCACGAAAGCGUGGGUAUCGAACAGGAUUAGAUACCCCCGUAAC